GGGAGUGUGGCUCAGUGGAAAGAGCACGGGCUUGGGAGCCAGAGGUCAUAGGUUCGAAUCCCGGCUCUGCCA
Ornithorhynchus anatinus (platypus) is the source of this 72-nucleotide non-coding RNA. The record is from Rfam. NCBI's taxonomy places the organism in Eukaryota, Metazoa, Chordata, Mammalia, Monotremata, Ornithorhynchidae.